Molecule: long non-coding RNA, 5521 nt
Filed under: Hordeum vulgare
Lineage: Eukaryota; Viridiplantae; Streptophyta; Magnoliopsida; Poales; Poaceae
Description: long non-coding RNA (HVUL_LNC013874)
Source: RNAcentral
UGAGGGCUUGUGACUCCCUCGUGGCCCAUCUGGCCUUCUCCUAAAGCUUCGAGGGUCUCUUUUGGUCCAAAAAAUCAUCGUAAAGUUUCAUUCCAUUUGGACUCCGUCUGAAAAUGGGCCAAAAACACGAAAAAAACAGAAACUGGCACUUGGCACUGAGUUAAUAGGUUAGUCCCAAAAAAGAUAUAAAAUAGCAUAUUCAUGCAUAUAAAACAUCCAAAGUUGACAAGAUAAUAGCAUGGAACCAUCAAAAAUUAUAGAUACAUUGGAGACGUAUCAAGCAUCCCCAAGCUUAACUCCUGCUCGUCCUCGAGUAGGGAAGUGAUAAAGAAUGAAUUUUUGAUGUUGCAUGCUACCUAGCAUAGAUGUCCUUUGUAACUCCUCUUAUGUGACAUGAAUGUUCAGAUCCAUUAGAUUCAAAACAAUAGUUUGCUAUUGACGUGGAAACAAUAAUAAUUCAAGCAAACUAGCAAGGUAAUCAUGAACUUUCAAAAUAACAAGGCCAAAAGAAAGUUAUCCCUACAAAAGCAUAUAGUCUUUCUAUGCUCUAUCAUCAUUGCACAACGAAUUUAAAUCAUGCACAAGCCCGAUAUUGGCCAAGUAAUUGUUUCACACCUUUACUUUCUCAAACCUUUUCAACUCUCACGCAAUACAUGAGCGUGAGUCAUGGUUUUAGCACUAUAAGUGGUGUGGUGUGUGGUGGAGGUUGCAAGACAAAAUAAGGAGAAGAUGAUCACAUUAACUAGGCAUAUCAAUGGCCUGUGGAGAUGCUCAUCAAUAGAUAUCAAUGUGAAUGAGUAGGGAUUGCCAUACAAAUGAUGCACUAGAGCUAAAAGUAUGUGAAAGCUCUUAAAGAAAACCAGUGGGUGUGCAUCCAACUUGCUUGCUCGCGAAGACCUAAGGCAAUUUUGAGGAAGCCUAUCAUUGGCAUAUACAAGCCAAGUUAUACAAUGAAAGUUUCCCACUAGCUAUAUGGUGAUGACAAAACGAGAGACUCUCAAUCAUGAAGAUCAUGGUGCUUAAUAUGCACAAGUGUGGAAAAGUGGUAGCAUUGUCCCUUCUCUCGUUUUCUCUCUCUUUUUUUGGUGGGCUCUUUGGCCUCUUUUUUUUGGUGGGCAUCUUUGGCCUCUUUUAUUUCCUCACAUGGGACAAUGCUCCAUCAAUACUGAUGAUCACACUUUCAACUCAAAACUUAGAGCAACGAUGACUCUAUAUGGAAUGCCUUCGGUAGUGUACCAUGACAAUGAUCUAGCAUGGCAUAAACAUUAAUGGAAACAUCAUGCUAGCUAUCUUGCGAUCAUGCAAUGACAAUGUAGACGUGGUGGCACAUGUCAUGGUGGUAUUUGCAUGGCAAUAUAUCUCGGAAUGACUUUGAAAAAGCCAUAGUAGGUAGGUAUGGUGGCUGUUUUGAGGGAGGCUAAUGGUGGGUUUUGUGCACCGGCGAAAGUUGCACGGCACUAAGAAGAUAGUGAUGGCGGAAGGUGAAAGUGCAUCUAAACCAUGGACUCAACAUUAGUCAUGAAGAACUCAUAUACUUUUGCAAAAGUUUUAUUAGUAAUCGAAACAAAGCAUUCAACGCAUACUCCUAGGGGAAGGGUUGGUAGGUAUAAACCAUCGCGCGAUCCCGACCGCCGCACAAAGGAUGACAAUCAAUAGACUAAUCAUGCUCAGAUUUCAUCACAUAGCGGUUCACCAUACGUGCAUGCUACGGGAAUCACUAACUUCAACACAAGUAUUUCUAGAUCCACAACACCUUACUAGCAUGACUUCAAUAUUACCAAAACCACAACUCAAAACUAAUUGAGAUGAAUCAAACUUCUCUAACUAUUCAAUGCACAUGAAGGUGGAAAUUUUCGUAUCCCUUUGGAUAACUACCCCUUUUGAGACUACUUUCAAAGCAUAGAUCAACUACCAAGCCACGCACCGCUACGCUCUAAAAUAUAUAAGUGAAGCACAUAGAGCAAAAGUAUCUAGCUCAAAAGAUAUAAGUGAAGCACAUGUGAGCUGAAUUGUCUACCAAAGGAUAUAAGUGAAGCUCGACAAAAUCACGGUGAGUGCAUGUCUCUCUCUCUAGGUGUGCAGCAAGGAUGAUUGUGACACAACAAAAAUAAAAGACUCCUACGAUACAAGAUGCUCCAAGCAAAAACACAUAACAUGUGGUGAAUAAAAAUAUAGCCCCAAGUAACGUUACCGAUGGAUUGAAGACGAAAGAGGGGAUGCCUUCCCGGGGCAUCCCAAUCUUAGGCUUUUACGGCAUCCUUGAAUCUAUUGGGGUGCCUUGGGCAUCCCCAAUCUUGAGCUCUUGCCACUCUUUAUCUCUUUGUCCAUAAGAACUUCACCCAAAAUUUGAAAACUUCACAACACGAAACUUAAACAGAAACUCGUGAUAACAUUAGUAUGAGAAAGCAAACCACCACUUCCUUAGGUAAUGUAGCAAACUGAAAUUCUACUUAUGCUGAUGUUGGGUUACUGCAUUUUCAGUCUUACAUGGCUAAUACCCUCCGAUACUAUCCAUAGUUUCAUCAAAAUAAACAACCAACACAACAAAAACAGAAUCUGUUAACAACAGACCAGUCUGUAGCAAUCUGUAUAUUUCGUAUACCUCUGGUACUUCAGAAAUUGUGAAAGAUUACGCCAGUCUGAAGAAUUUUCGUAGCAAUUAGCAGCAAAAAGAAUCAACUCAAAAUCUCUCACAGAAAAAAAUGAAAAUUCUUUUCGUGAGUAGAAAGUUUCUGUCUUUUCCAGCAUGACCAAACGAUCAUCCCCAAGACUAAUCAUAACGGUUUUGCUUGGCACAAACGCAAAAAGAAACACAAAAACACAAUCAUAACAGAAUUAUGAAAGUGUGGAAAACAAAAAACAACAAUAAAAAGGAUAGAUUCGUUGGAUUGCCUCCCAACAAGCGCUAUCGUUUAACGCCCUUAGCUAGGCAUUGAUUUCAAUGAUGCUCACAUAAAAGGUAAGGAUUGAAACACAACGAGAGCAUCAUGGAGCAAAUGGCUAGCACAUUUAAGUCUAAUCCACUUCCUAUGCAUUGGGAUUUUAUGAUCAAACAAUUUAUUGGAGAAAGAAUCAACUAGCAUAGGAAGGCAAAACAAGCAUAGCUUCAAAAUUUUCAACAUAUGGAGAGGAAGCUUGAUACUAUUGCAAUAAGUAGAAGCAUAUGAACCUCUCUCAUAGUAAUUUUUAGUAGCAUCAUGAAUAAAUUCAACAAUAUAACCAGCACCUAAGGCUUUCUUUUCAUGAUCUACAAGCAUAGGAAUUUUACUACUCUCCACAUAAGGAAAUCUAUUCUCAAGAAUAGUAGUGGGAGUAUCGUGAAAGACUUGAGCACUACAAAUUGUGUCCACAAUGAAAAAGCAAGGUUUAGCAAAAGGGUUCUCGAGAGUAUGACAAGUUUUAUCAUCCCUCUUCUUUAAAGCAUAAGUAUCCUCACAAUAAUCACAUGCUUUCAUCAAAAUAAUUUUGAUCAUUCAAAGUGGAAGAACUAAAAAGAUCAUCUUCAUCAAAUAUAGCAUCCCCAAGCUUGUGGCUUUGCAUAACAUUAGCAUCAUGGGUAUUCAAAGAAUUCAUGCUAAAAACAUUGCAAUCAUGCUCAUCCUUCACAUAUUCUAUGCCAAUCAUUCUAUGUAAUUCUUCUUUCAGCACUUGAGCACAAUUUUCCUUCCCAUCAUGCUCAUGAAAGACAUUGAAAAGAUGGAGCAUAUGAGGCAUCCUCAAUUCCAUUUUUUUUAGUUUUCAGCGAAAGAACAAGAAACAAAAAGAUUCGAUUGCAAGAUCUAAAGAUAUACCUUCAAGCGCUAACCUCCCCGACAAUGGCGCCAGAAAAGAGCUUCGUUGACGGGAUGUUAGUGUCGCUUACCUAGCCUCCUCGGCAACGGCGGCAGAAAAGAGCUUGAUGUCUACUAUGCAACCUUCUCCUUGUAGACGUUGUUGGGCCUCCAAGUGCAGAGGGUUGUAGGACAGUAGCAAUUUUCCCUCGAGUGGGUGACCUAAGGUUUAUGAAUCCGCGGGAGGCGUAGGAUGAAGAUGGUCUCUCUCAAGCAACCCUGCAACCAAAUAACAAAGAGUCUCUUGUGUCCCCAACACACCUAAUACAAUGGUAAGUUGUAUAGGUGCACUAGUUCGGCGAAGAGAUGGUGAUACAAGUGCAAUAUGGAUGGUAGAUAUAGGUUUUUGUAAUCUAAAAUUACAAAAACAACAAGGAAACAAAUGGUAAAAGUGAGCACGAACGGUAUUGCAAUGCGUGGAAACAAGGCCUAGGGUUCAUACUUUCACUAGCGAAGUUCUCUCAACAAUGAUAACAUAAUUGGAUCAUAUAACUAGCCCUCAACAUGCAACAAAGAGUCACUCCAAAGUCACUAAUAGCGGAGAACAGACGAAGAGAUUAUUGUCGGGUACGAAACCACCAAAAAGUUAUUCUUUCUAAUCGAUCUAUCAUAGAGUUCGUACUAGAAUAACACCUUAAGAUACAUAUCAACCAAGACCCUAAUGUCACCUAGAUACUCCAUUGUCACCUCAAGUAUCCGUGGGUAUGAUUAUACGAUAUGCAUCACACAAUCUCGAAUCAUCUAUUCAACCAACACAUAGAACAUCAAAGAGUGCCCCAAAGUUUCUACCAGCGAGUCAAAACGUGUGCCAACCCCUAUUCAUAGGUUCCCAAUGUCACGAACCCGCAAGUUGAUCACCAAAACAUACAUCAAGUACUCACAUGAAUCCAUGUGUGCCAACCCAUAUGCAUAGGUUCCCAGUUGUCACAAACCCACAAGUUGAUCACAGCAGAUAGACACGUGCAAGACAUACAUCAAGUGUUCUCAAAGACUCAAUUCGAUAAGAUAACUCCAAAGGGGAAACUCAAUUCAUUACAAGAAGAAGAGGGGGAAGAAGAUCAUAAGAUCCAACUAUAGUAGCAAAGCCCAUGGUACAUCGAGAUCAAGACAUCUCAAGAACACGAGAGAGAGAGAGAGAUCAAACACAUAGCUACUGGUACAUACCCUCAGCCCCGAGGGAGAACUACUCCCUCCUCGUCAUGGAGAUCGCCGGGAUGAUGAAGAUGGCCACCGGAGAUGGAUUCCCCUCCGACAGGGUGCCAGAACGGGCUCCAGAUUGGUUUUUGGUGGCUACAGAGGCUUGCGGCGGCGGAACUCCCGAUCUAGGUUUCUUUUUGGGGGUUUCUGAAUUUAUAGGAAUUUAUGGCGGUGGAAUUACGUCGGUUGGGCCCACGAGGAGGUCAUAAGCCUGCUCGCCACCACCAGGGGGGGUGGUGGCGGCGGCGUGAGGGCUUGUGACUCCCUCGUGUCCCAUCUGGCCUUCUCCCAAAGCUUCGGGGGUCUCUUUUGGUCCAAAAAAAAUCAUGUAAAGUUUCAUUCCAUUUGGACUCCGUCUGAAAAUGGGCCAAAAACACGAAAAAAACAGAAACUGGCACUUGGCACUGAGUUAAUAGGUUAGUCCCAAAAAAGAUAUAAAAUAGCAUAUUCAUGCAUAUAAAACAUCCAAAGUUGACAAGAUAAUAGCAUGGAAC